Long non-coding RNA from Salvia splendens (bonfire salvia), 806 nucleotides. RefSeq lists it as uncharacterized. NCBI's taxonomy places the organism in Eukaryota, Viridiplantae, Streptophyta, Magnoliopsida, Lamiales, Lamiaceae. The transcript is spliced from 4 exons. The record is from RefSeq and is a predicted model, not a curated record.
CAUGAACUUCACGACAAGUUCCUCCAGCAUGGUCUGAACUCAGGGAUUGGACAAAGAAGACAUGCUAUUUAAGCUAUACAGUUCUGUAAGUGCUCAAAGCAUGGAAAGAAUAGAAGAGCUUCUCCAGGAGGACCAGAAUGUCAAGCGGAGGAAAGAGCGUAUCCAGAAACAGUCCUCUAUUCUUUCCAAGCUUACUACACAACUCUGUAUUAAUGAUAAUCUGGCAGCCGCUGCAUCCACCUAUUCCAAUGAAGAAAGUUCAACCAUUGCUGGCCCAUCUUCCCGGGAGCUCUGGAGAUGCUACGUUUGAUGCUGCUGCCAGCGGUCCAAACCUAUCAUAUGGGGAUUCUAGAUCAAAUUGUCUCAGUCGCCGGAACAGUGAUCCUUUUCAUAAUGGUGAUAUAAACCCUGGUGCCGACGAACACCCUAGCAUUUGCCACUUGCUCCUCCAUCAUCUGCAUCUGUUUAUAUAUUCUAAGGUUUAUUUGACCAUUACACUUGAGAAAAUGGCCAAAGGGGAUGCUCAGAAGCUCUACUUCACUGUUCCAAUAUUUGAGACACAUCCUCCCUAGUACUUCAUCCACGCAAUUUCAGAUUCAUGGAUGCAUUCAGAGUGUUUCUAUACUAUGUCCUUCCGGAACCUCAUGCUCCCUGAGAUGAUUUUGAGAUUCACUGAUAUUUAUGUUUUGAAAACCAUGAAGAGUUUUAAUCUUAAAGUUUUCUUAUGUUCCUUCAGGCUCUUACAACUUAUAUGGAACUCCUUGACUUGAAACCACUUCCUGUGACUGCACUUGCAAAUGGAACUU